UCACAAGAGGAGGAAAGAUAAUGCCACCUCUGCAAAAGACACUCCUAAACUACACAUAGAAGAGAAGUAGACCCCCCAGGACAGGCCUUCCCAUCAGAAUAUUGAGACCAAUCGGAUGCUUCUGUGUGGAAAGAAGAAUUGAGAGGUGGGCUUGGUACUCGGUCACCAUACAAACUGGCUUGAAUUCCAGGUUCCCAGGACGUGUAAGAAGUUCUGAAAGACCUUAGAAAGCUCAACUGUAGGAGAUCAAUAGUGCAAUUUAUGACGUAAAUUGAGACCUGUGCCCUUUGAUGAUCUAGUCUUCUUUGCUCUACCAGUACUCACAUCUCAUCAGGAGUAUUACCGCCUUGGAAAACACCUGAAUGAGAAACUGAAUGCCCAAGACCACAGAGCUCAGAGAUGAUAGAAACAGGAGCUGCAAGUCAAAGUUUCCUGAUUCUAAGACCAGAGCCCCUUCCACCACACUCCAGCUCAGCCUCACUACAAAAUUCCAGUUUCAUCCUGUUCCACACAGGACCCACAUGUCCUGCAGCCUGGGUCAACCCAGGUUUGAGAAUACUCCCCAAGAACAACUGAGGCAUGCUCUGAGAUGGCAAAAUGCCACUCAUGGAACCCAGGUAAAGCCUCCAAGCAGUUGUUAGUGAGGGACCAGCAUGCACACUUCAGAAUCUGCCAACUGAAGAAGUGAUUUUCAACAGAGAAACCCUAGCAAAACAGCAGUGUUACAAGUCACUCAGCCAUGACGGAAGCACUUUUUAAAGACUGUGCUCCAGUUAGCAAGUGUCUUUAGCAGACCCUAUGUACUGUUGUCACAUCUGUGUUCAAGAUUCCUCGUCCCCUCUUAAAAUAAGCCUGAAAGCUAAUGUAGUUAUACAAGGCAGCCAAAUUGCACAAAACUGUCAACUCUUCCUCCGGAACAGAUUAAGACCCUGCAGCCAACGGGAAGAUAUAACUGCUUCCCAGUUUAUGAGCAAUUUCUUUCCUUCCAGAUUUUUCACUGAGACUGGAGUCUAAACUCAAAGCAAUAAUCAUCCAACAAAAAUGCCUCUGGAAUAAUUGAGAUCAGUCUUAGGACAGCUGAGUCCUACUGUUUUUCAUGUUUGUACAUUUUUUACUCUGUGAUUAAUGGAGGAGGAGAUGAGAGAACAGAGGGUGGAAAGGGAGAAAGAAAAAAAAAUAUCACUUGACUCUGCAUACUCAAAAAUGUGGAAGAAGAGAAGGUGGAAGAGAGAUCGUGCCU
Long non-coding RNA from Orcinus orca (killer whale), 1240 nucleotides. RefSeq lists it as uncharacterized. The transcript has 3 exons. Lineage: Eukaryota; Metazoa; Chordata; Mammalia; Artiodactyla; Delphinidae. The record is from RefSeq and is a predicted model, not a curated record.